This 460-nucleotide ribosomal RNA is filed under the name uncultured bacterium. RNAcentral describes it as "partial 16S ribosomal RNA". It matches the Rfam family "Bacterial small subunit ribosomal RNA", at positions 338 to 795 of the family's 1533-position model. The record is from RNAcentral.
CCUACGGGAGGCAGCAGUGAGGAAUAUUGGUCAAUGGCCGAUAGCCUGAACCAGCCAAGUAGCGUGAGGGAUGACUGCCCUAUGGGUUGUAAACUUCUUUUGUAUGGGAAUAAAGUGCAGUAUGUAUACUGCUUUGAAUGUACCUUAUGAAUAAGGAUCGGCUAACUCCGUGCCAGCAGCCGCGGUAAUACGGAGGAUUCGAGCGUUAUCCGGAUUUAUUGGGUUUAAAGGGUGCGUAGGCGGGUAGUGAAGUCAGUGGUGAAAGUUAGGGGCUCAACCCUAAAAUUGCAGUUGAUACUGGGUUCCUUGAGUACGGGAGAGGUAGGCGGAAUGCGUGGUGUAGCGGUGAAAUGCAUAGAUAUCACGAAGAACUCCGAUUGCGAAGGCAGCGUGCUGGAGUGCAACUGACGCUGAUGCUCGAAAGUGUGGGUAUCGAACAGGAUUAGAUACCCGUGUAGUC